GAAAAGAGAAAAAUAAAAUAAGAACGAACCUCAAAUCAAUAAACUUUCUUCAAUAUUCAAAAGGGCGAAUUUGUACAACACAGUAUCGUUCUGACAGCCAAAGUGAAAUUUCAUCAAUGGAAUCCGGAUCGAAAACCUCGUCGUUCGACUCAAAGUGCGACAACUUGUCAAGUACGAGGAAGAACUUGGACUGAAACUCAGCUUGACUAAGACGCCAAAUCGACUCCGUCCGGUGUCGUACGUGAGUGAAUUAGUUCCGGCAAAAAGACGACGGUGGUGAAUUUGGUUUUGGUGAUUGACAACGAAAUGGGUGGAGCUACAGUAGGGACCUGCUUCAGAAGCUAUGGUUUGAUCUUUUCCCUUCAAAGUAUUCUUGAGUGAAUUCUCAUUUUGAAGUGGAAAUUAUAGUGCAUUUGUAUGGAAAAUUUCUUUGUUUUCUCCCCUUUAUCCGUUGUUGCUCACUGUCCUCCCUAUUUUUAUGUGUGUGUAUUUAGGUGUAGGUACUAUUAUACAGGGGUAGGGUUUAGGUUAGGGAUAUGGGCCUAGGAGUUAUGGGCUUGAAAAUUAUAGGCUAGGAAAUUGGGCCAAAGACUAAAAAAAAUGGACUACAAGAUUCAUAAANNNNNNNNNNNNNNNNNNNNNNNNNNNGAAUUCUGGAAAUGGGGAUCUCCACAACUGGAAUCUAAACAUGAAUAGGCCUAUCUCGUUUAUUAUCUGGAAUAUUCGAGGGGGGAACAAUGAUACUUUCAGGCUCCACUUUAGGGAGAUGAUCGACACCCACAAACCUAGCAUGGUUACACUGCUGGAAACGCGUAUGGAUAAUCAUAUGGCUCUUCUUAAUCCAUUUGGAUUCACUGAUAUGAUUGAAAUUCCGGCUAAUGGUCAAUCAGGGGAUAUGGUAAUUCUAUGGAAUCACUCUGUAGUUAAUGUGCACAGCUUUGUUAGAAGGAACUAAGAAAUCAGUGCAACCAUCGAGGUAAUCCCUACUAACAUUACUUAGUUAUUUACCUCUAUAUAUGCUAGUACUAAGGUAAAAGAAAGAAAUUAGCUUUGGGAAAAUCUUAUUUGCACGCAUGAUCACUUUAAGGGUCCCUGGUUAGUAGGGGAGACUUUAACUAUGUUCUAGACUCUAAUGAAAAAUUAGGAGGAAACUUGGUUAGUAGCAAACGUACAAAAUUCCUAUGGGAUUGUAUUAAUAAAUGUGGCCUCACAGACUUAGGUUACAAGGGCUGCAAAUUCACUUGGUCCAAUCGUAGAAGGAAAAAUAAAGGUCUCAUCAUGGAAAGGCUAGACAAAAUUCUAGCAAAUAGCAAUUGGAUCAGUGCAUUCCCAAGUGCUUCUGUCACUCAUCUACCCAAAACUCACUCUGAUCACAAUCCCUUAUUACUCCAAUUAAUGUCUAACCAAACCAAUAGACUUCCUAAACCUUUUAGGCUAGAAUCCUUCUGGUGUAGACACCUCAGUUUCCCUAACCUUGUUAAAGAAAACUGGAAGGGUGUAGAUUACCAUGAAUUCUCUAACAAUUUUAUCAGUAGGGUCAAAGAUUGGAAUAACAAUAUUUUUGGUGAUAUCUGCAAAGAAAAAAAAAGAAUUCUUGCUAGACUAAAAGGCAUCCAAGUAUCCCACAACUAUCAUAAUAGCAUCUUCCUUCAAAAUUUAGAACGGCCCCUUCAAACAGACUUUAAUAACUAUCUAAAAAUUGAAGACGACUACUGGAAACUAAGGGCUAGAAUUUCUUGGGUACAAGAAGGAGAUGCCAAUACUAAGUUUUUUCAUAUUAUGGCUACCAAUAAUAGAAGGAAAAAUAAAAUCAUGUACUACAAUGACGACCAAGGCAACUAGAUUGAUAAUCCAAUAGACCUUCUAAACCACACCAAAAAAAUUUUCAAGAAUGACUUCACCACCUCCCAUGAAUCUACUCACUGGGCAGACUUUAAUCUAGAACUAUCAGUCCACAACAAAUAAACCCUCAAUAGUUUGGAACACCCACUUUUGCCUAGAGAGAUCACCAAUGCAGUCUUCUCCUUUAAACCAUUCAAGGCUCCAGGCCCGGAUGGCAUCCAUCCUUUUUUCUAUCAGAAAUAUUGGAACAUUGUCGGGCCCUCAGUCAUCAAGGGUUGAUAUCAAGUUUUCAAAGACAAAACCCUUCCUCCAGAGAUCAAUGAUACUUAUAUCUGCCUAAUACCAAAGAUCAGCAAUGCUAACAACCUAAAAAACUUUAGGCCCAUUGUCCUAUGUAACACCUUUUACAAAAUCAUUACCAAAAUCAUCGCAAAUAGGAUUAAAUCCUUCCUGAAUAAGCUAAUUAGUCCCUUCCAAGCUAGCUUUAUCAAAGGUAGAAGAACAAGUGACAAUGCUAUACUAGUCCAAGAAAUCAUCAAUCACUUUAAAAAAAUGAAAGGAAAAAAGGCCAGUAUGAUUCUCAAAUUAGACCUGGAAAAAGCAUUCGACCGACAUGAAUGGUCUUUCAUCUACAGAAUGCUUAAGUUCUUCAAUUUUUCACCUGCUAUUUCUACCUUAAUUUUAAAUUGCAUUUGCUCUAGUAGAAUUGCUAUCCUAGUUAAUGGAUUCACGACUGAUUUCUUCAGUCCAAGUAGGGGUAUAAGACAAGAGUGCCCAUUAUCGCCAUACAUAUUCAUCCUAUUUAUGAAAAUGUUCUCCCGUCUGAUUUUCUACCAAGUGGAUAUAUGUCAAUGGGACCUAAUCCACCUCAGUCCAAGAGACACAGGUAUAUCCCACCUUUUCUUUGUCGAUGACCUGACUCUAAUGUCCAAACUCAAUGAGAAGUUUUGCAAAAUAAUAAAGAACAGCCUUUCCCUCUUUUGCAAGUUAUCAGGGCAGAAUAUUAAUAUCCAUAAAUCUAAAAUUUUAGUCUCCAAGAAUUGUCAUCCCAACACAGCUCAAGAGGUAGCCUCUUACUUUAAUAUCAAAAUAGAUAAGUCCUUUGGGAAGUACCUGGGAUACCCAAUCCUAAACAAUCAUCCUUCCCCAAAGGACUACCAAUACAUUAUCAACAAUAUGCAAAGAAAAUUGUCGGCCUGGAAAGGAAAGUUUCUCAAUAUCGCAGGAAGAACUACCUAGCUAUUUCAACUCUUAAUGCAAUCGCUAGUCAUGCCAUGCACUAUACCCUUCUUCCUAAUAAAACCCUGAAGGAAAUUGACCGCAUUCAAAGAAACUUUAUAUGGGGUACCAAUAGUGAUUUAAAAAAAAUUCAUUACAUAAGUUGGUAUAACAUUACUAAGCCUAAAGAAGAAGGAGGCUUAGAACUAAUUACGGCCAAUAAUAAAAAUCUAAUCUCCCUUUCUAAUCUUGCAUGGAGACUCCUCACUAAUACAACUGCCCCUGGUCAAGUACUCUCAUUCAUAAAUAUGCCCAAUGCAAACCUGCAAAAACUGCUCCUUCGUUUGGAAAAGUAUUCUAAAAGGAUGGUACAUUUGCUCCAAGGGUAUUACUUGGAUACCUAGUGAAAAUUCAAACUCAAUAUUUGGACAUCUAAUUGGAUUCUAAAUUGUAAAUCUCUUCAACAAUCCUUUCAUGGUCCACUCACUCGGGAAGAGAUUACCAUGACCAUCAAAGAUAUAUAUGUUCACAAACAAUGGAACCUCUCAAACAUUUCCUUCAAUAUUCCAAAAGAAAUUACAACCAACAUCCCAUAUGGUCACUAUCCUCCAAUGGAAGCUUCACUUCCAAAUCUUGUGCCCGGAUCCUUCAGGAAAAAACACCUCAGCAAUAUGACUUUAAAUGGAUUUGGGAGUUCAAAUGCCCUAAUAAAAUCAAAUACUUCCUUUGGCAAUGUCUACACAACAGAUUACCAUGCCGACAAUACUUCCAACACAUUGGAAUCAACAUCGAUAACAUGUGUGCCAUGUGCCAUAAUAAAGAGGAAUCUCCAAGGCACAUCUUCCUCACUUGCUCCAUUGUCCAAAGCCUGUGGGCACAUCUGGGGAUAAUGAUCCCCCCAAACUCAAACGAACACUGGCUGCUUCAGCUUAAAAACCAAUCUUCUAACUUUUGUACUGCUUUCAUCAACUGACAGCACCUUUUUCCGUUCGUAAUAUGGGGAAUCUGGUUAAAUAGGAAUAGUAACAAUAUAAACAACACAACCAUACGCCCUCCAUCAACAGCUUUGUAAAUCAUGCAACGGAAUACCACUUUAUGACAUCAAAUAACAACCCUAUUACCCAAAUGGAAACCAUCAAUAUUAAAUGGCAUACUCCUCAAAAGGGUUGGAUAAAACUCAAUAUCGAUGGAGCACAUGAAGAACACAAAAGCGGCAUAGGUGGGGUUUUCAGAAGUUGCAAAGGAAAGUGGAUAAUUGGCUUCCAAAAAAAUUCCAAUGCCAUAUGCCCUCUUCAUCGGAUUUACAAUCACUUCAUGAAGGGCUCAAACUAGCUCAUAGAUUUAAUCUGUUUCCACUGAAAAUUGAAACUGACUCCACAGAGGCUAUCAACGCUAUUAACAAUGGUCAUGCCAUACUAAACAACGUAAUUUACUCUUGCAGGUCAUUAAUGCACUAGGAGAAGGGCCUAUUACUGAGGCAUAACUUCAGACAAGGGAAUAGUGUGGCUGAUGAACUAGCAAAGGAAGCAAAAAACCAAGAUGAUAGCAAAUACAUGCAUGAAGAAGUUAGAAUAUUAGUGUCACCGUCAGUUUUUGUGGAAAAAAUGCUUACAAUUGAUAUGAGCGGUGAACAUACUUUGUCAAAGAAACUACCAAGCAGUGUUUGUAAUAUGUUAUAGAAAAUCAAAACAUUAUGAAGGAAGGG
RNAcentral lists this long non-coding RNA (4765 nucleotides) under Nicotiana tabacum (common tobacco). RNAcentral's name for it is "long non-coding RNA (NTAB_LNC003531)". The record is from RNAcentral. Lineage: Eukaryota; Viridiplantae; Streptophyta; Magnoliopsida; Solanales; Solanaceae.